ACKGCUCAGUAACACGUGGCUAAUCUGCCCUUGAGACGAGAACAACCCCGGGAAACUGGGGCUAACUCUCGAUAGGUGAAGAACUCUGGAAUGAGUCUUCGCCCAAAAAGCUUCACGUUAUGCGCGUGAGGUUGCUCAAGGAUGAGGCCGCGACCGAUCAGGUUGUUGGUGAGGUAAUGGCUCACCAAGCCUUUUACCGGUGCGGGCCGUGAGAGCGGGAGCCCGGAGAUGGGCACUGAGACAAGGGCCCAGGCCCUACGGGGCGCAGCAGUCGCGAAAACUUUGCAAUACACGAAAGUGUGACAGGGCUAUCCCGAGUGCCAUCCGCUGAGGAAGGCUUUUACCCAGUCUAGAACGCUGGGGGAAUAAGGAGAGGGCAAGUCUGGUGUCAGCCGCCGCGGUAAUACCAGCUCUUCGAGUGGUGUGGAUGUUUAUUGGGCCUAAAGCAUCCGUAGCUGGCUAAGUUAGUCCCUUGUUAAAUCCACCGAAUUAAUCGUUGGAUCGCGGGGGAUACUGCUUGGCUAGGGGACGAGAGAGGCAGACGGUAUUUUCGGGGUAGGGGUGAAAUCCUAUAAUCCCGGGAAGACCACCAGUGGCGAAGGCUGUCUGCUAGAACGCGCCCGACGGUGAGGGAUGAAAGCUGGGGGAGCGAACCGGAUUAGAUACCCGGGUAGUCCCAGCUGUAAACGCUGCAGGCUAGGUGUUUGGACGGCCACGUGCCGUUCUAGUGCCGCAGGGAAGCUGUUAAGCCUGCCGCCCGGGGAGUACGAUCGCAAGAUUGAAACUUAAAGGAAUUGGCGGGGGAGCAC
Molecule: ribosomal RNA, 809 nt
Filed under: uncultured Thermoproteales archaeon
Lineage: Archaea; Thermoproteati; Thermoproteota; Thermoprotei; Thermoproteales
Description: bacterial SSU rRNA
Rfam family: Archaeal small subunit ribosomal RNA
Source: RNAcentral